ACACUUCAAACCAUAUCAAGUGUUUCAAUACAUCCUUCAAACAAGAAUAUGAAGCCUUAUACAAUCUUCAUUAUCACAAUAAUCUGCAAAACAAUGGGAAAUCAAGUGAUUGUGUUGAAAGGACUUUCCGGAAGAAAAUGGCAAAUACUGCAUUGGUGCAUGUAUACUUCAGAGAUAUGGGUUUAACUAAGUUUACAACUGAUCAGCUUUACGGGUGGCAGGAUAUAGUAGCUCAAUUUGGUGGAACUGUUGGCCUGUGCAUUGGAUUCAGUUUACUUAGUGGGUGUGAGCUGAUCUACUUUCUCCUCUGCAGACGAUGCUUUAAAAAAUAAAAUAGUAUUUUCGUAGACAAAGAGUUUUGAAUUUAAACCCUAAAUGAAGACCGAGGUUUAUUCUUUCACUUGUAUCUUACGCUAAAGGGUUACCCACAAAGGAUGCGAAUGUAAAGACGACGUGAAAAUCUUUUAAUUUGACGUUUCUUAGGUUAAAUUAAGUAUUCUGCCACGAAUAAAGUCUUUUUUAGUCUUUUCAAUGAUCGGACAAAGAAAUCAAAAAAUUACAGUACAGUCGUCUUUGAAGUCUCCAUCAUUGUAUUAAUUAUGUGAAGGACUGACAGUAGUAAAUGCCAUACUCUUAAAAGUUUGUCUAAUUUGUUUGUCUAGUUUGUGUAAUUCAUCCCCCAUAUCUACAAUCCCUUGAACUAUCAACGCCUCUAACACUGGGAGCGAUCUGGUUAGCUAUCGGUGUCAAUACAGACACUCGCAAUCAAUUGAUCAAUGUCUCAAACAGGACACAAUCCACAUGGCUAAAAUCCUGUGAACCAUCAUCGCCACUACACUGGGUGCUAUCUCGUUUGCUAUGUCAACCGGACUAUAGCGAUCUAUUGAUCAAUGUCUCAAACAGGCUACGAUCCACAAGGCUACAAUCAUGAGAACUAUCAACGCCACUAACACUGGACACAUUUUCAUUUGCUAUGUCAACUGGACAAUAGCCAUCUAUUGAUCAAUGUCUCAAACAGGACAUGAUCCACAUGGCUACAAUCCCAAGAACUAUCAACAAUAGCGAUCCGGACAAUAGUGAUUUAUUGAUCAAUGCCAAUACUCAAGGCACGAUCUCAAUUUGUAUGUUUCAAUGAAAAGGUAAGUUACAUAUUCACAAUAUUACGCAUUUAUAUAUUAAUCUGAACACAAUACGCAGCUAGUCUUAGUCGAUCGCAUUACAAGUUUUACGUAUUUAAGGAUUAACGAAGUUAGAUCCUUAGACAAUGUUUAACAUAUUUAUUAUAGUUACGUUCAAAGUGCAAUUAUUACAUGACUCUUAAACACUGACCGUCUGAUAAAGAGAAAUUUUGAUUUGAGUCUUAAAGUGAACAUUAUGGAGAGUGGUUUGAUCUACAGGGUGUCCCACGAAACAUGACAGUUCUAGCGACAACCUUUAAAAUAAUUUGCCGUAUUCAUUCAUUAACCAAAUUUAGAAGUAGAAUUAUUAAAUUAUUAAUCACACAAAAUGUCCUAGUUUUGCAAUCCCAAAAAGUGGUCUGUCUUUUUCGUGCACUUUCAAAAUUACCGGGAAUAUAAAAUUAAUUUCGACCAAGAUCUAUGAUCAUUUCGUUUCUCAACAGUCAUGUUUCGUGGGACACCCUUUUUUAAAAGAAUAUUCUAGAAAUGUGUUCAAUUGUUUGCUUGCUGUUUACAGUGCUUGAUUCAACAAAAUAAAUAUUUU
This 1722-nucleotide long non-coding RNA is filed under the name Eurytemora carolleeae. Its description in RNAcentral is "uncharacterized LOC111709015". Lineage: Eukaryota; Metazoa; Arthropoda; Copepoda; Calanoida; Temoridae. The record is from RNAcentral.